RNAcentral lists this long non-coding RNA (1353 nucleotides) under Oryza sativa Indica Group (long-grained rice). RNAcentral describes it as "lncRNA OsMH63_09G005040". Lineage: Eukaryota; Viridiplantae; Streptophyta; Magnoliopsida; Poales; Poaceae. The record is from RNAcentral.
GAAACUCAUGCCCUCAUAGCCCUCAACGCCAGAACUACUCCAUCUUCUUCCUCCAGCCCUUCAUCCUCACCAACCACAACCCUAGACACCUCCAUUGCUGGCGAAUUGAUCAUGGCGGACCUUCCUGAGGAACUUCACUACCCACAAUACUUUCUCCCACCUGGCCUACAGAUUGAGGAACAUUUGUCCCGUGCCUCAAGAGCGGAUGUUACUAUUCAAAACCAUCCCACGAAGCGUCACGAAGAUUUCGUGGCGGUGCUGGUGGAACCACAGCCUCCAGAAGAGAGCAUCCAGGACCUAAUCCAUCAGGUUGUUCACAUCAUCAAUCAUCAGUACCGCUUUCAAGUGGUAAGAACUAUCAGGUUCCCUCUUGCGCUCUGCCUAGUCCACCUUACUUCAGAAGUGCGUACAGAUGCUUUGCUUGCUGGAGACCCCAUGGUCUUGAACAAUGGUGAUUUUAAUGCUCGGUUUGUGUGUCCUGAUAAUCUGGAUAAUAGGCGUAACUGUCCAUUCAGUAGGGAUGGUUGGAUCAUGAUUCUUGGUAUCCCCCUUGAUUUUAGAAAUGAAUCCGACAUUGAAAGGGUAGUAAACACUUUUGGCAAACUUGUUCGCUGGGAUCAUCGUGAUCGGGUCCUGGGAAGGGUUCUAGCUAGGUGCUUGUACUCUGAUCCUAGUGCUAUCCCAAGGAAAAUUGUAAUGGAAAACCCAGCUAACAAGGGGGGUUAUGGGGAAUCUUGGACUCUGCAGACCUUUGUUUUGAAUGGGGAAUUUACUGAUGUGUUCCCUAUGGAUGAAAACUUGCCACCUACGUGGAUGAGAACAACGCUUUGGAAGUUCAGAUUGAACAAAUCCAGCAUCAUCAGCAAGCAGAUGUUCAUGAAGAGAUGCAACAUGACUCUGCAACUAUUGAACAUCACUGGUGGCUUGGUUUCAAGCCUUGUCUACCUGUACAGAUACCUAGAAGUGUGGCAUAUGGCUUUUGAUUCAAGUAAAGAUCAGGUGGUUUUUGUAAGGCCUGCAAAGUGUCGACGGGUUGAUGCUGAGCAGACAGAGGUGGUCAAAAGGCCCAGGGCCAAACUUCUUCAUGGCAGUGGUAACUUGAGAAUGUUCCCAAGCUCCUCUGCCCAGGGAGAGAAGUCUGACUUGAACCAAGAAUCACCCAAGAAGAGGUCUGGAGUUCAACCUGAGCCUCUCACUGCCCAUUCUGAUGAUAUGAAGAAUUCCAUUCAGCCUGCUUCCCCAAACUCUGCUGAAGAUAUCCAAAAUGUGGAUGUCGAUGUAAGUGAUGUGCUUCCUGAGGAUGUCAGCAAGAAAUUCAGUGUAACUUGUAAACUUGCUGCCCGCCUAAAGUGA